CGCGGGCCGUGGCCUAUACAUGCACGUCGAACGAGUUCUGAUUAUUGAAAGGUGCUUGCAUCUUGAUUUAAUUUUGAACGAGUGGCGGACGGGUGAGUAACACGUGGGUAACCUGCCCUUAAGUGGGGGAUAACAUUUGGAAACAGAUGCUAAUACCGCAUAAAUCCAAGAACCGCAUGGUUCUUGGCUGAAAGAUGGCGUAAGCUAUCGCUUUUGGAUGGACCCGCGGCGUAUUAGCUAGUUGGUGAGGUAACGGCUCACCAAGGCAAUGAUACGUAGCCGAACUGAGAGGUUGAUCGGCCACAUUGGGACUGAGACACGGCCCAAACUCCUACGGGAGGCAGCAGUAGGGAAUCUUCCACAAUGGACGCAAGUCUGAUGGAGCAACGCCGCGUGAGUGAAGAAGGCUUUCGGGUCGUAAAACUCUGUUGUUGGAGAAGAAUGGUCGGCAGAGUAACUGUUGUCGGCGUGACGGUAUCCAACCAGAAAGCCACGGCUAACUACGUGCCAGCAGCCGCGGUAAUACGUAGGUGGCAAGCGUUAUCCGGAUUUAUUGGGCGUAAAGCGAGCGCAGGCGGUUUUUUAAGUCUGAUGUGAAAGCCCUCGGCUUAACCGAGGAAGUGCAUCGGAAACUGGGAAACUUGAGUGCAGAAGAGGACAGUGGAACUCCAUGUGUAGCGGUGAAAUGCGUAGAUAUAUGGAAGAACACCAGUGGCGAAGGCGGCUGUCUGGUCUGUAACUGACGCUGAGGCUCGAAAGCAUGGGUAGCGAACAGGAUUAGAUACCCUGGUAGUCCAUGCCGUAAACGAUGAAUGCUAGGUGUUGGAGGGUUUCCGCCCUUCAGUGCCGCAGCUAACGCAUUAAGCAUUCCGCCUGGGGAGUACGACCGCAAGGUUGAAACUCAAAGGAAUUGACGGGGGCCCGCACAAGCGGUGGAGCAUGUGGUUUAAUUCGAAGCAACGCGAAGAACCUUACCAGGUCUUGACAUCUUUUGAUCACCUGAGAGAUCAGGUUUCCCCUUCGGGGGCAAAAUGACAGGUGGUGCAUGGUUGUCGUCAGCUCGUGUCGUGAGAUGUUGGGUUAAGUCCCGCAACGAGCGCAACCCUUAUGACUAGUUGCCAGCAUUUAGUUGGGCACUCUAGUAAGACUGCCGGUGACAAACCGGAGGAAGGUGGGGAUGACGUCAAAUCAUCAUGCCCCUUAUGACCUGGGCUACACACGUGCUACAAUGGAUGGUACAACGAGUUGCGAGACCGCGAGGUCAAGCUAAUCUCUUAAAGCCAUUCUCAGUUCGGACUGUAGGCUGCAACUCGCCUACACGAAGUCGGAAUCGCUAGUAAUCGCGGAUCAGCACGCCGCGGUGAAUACGUUCCCGGGCCUUGUACACACCGCCCGUCACACCAUGAGAGUUUGUAACACCCGAAGCCGGUGGCGUAACCCUUUUAGGGAGCGAGCCGUCUAAGGGGUCAAUU
This 1472-nucleotide ribosomal RNA is filed under the name Lacticaseibacillus rhamnosus. Its description in RNAcentral is "bacterial SSU rRNA". It matches the Rfam family "Bacterial small subunit ribosomal RNA". Lineage: Bacteria; Bacillati; Bacillota; Bacilli; Lactobacillales; Lactobacillaceae. The record is from RNAcentral.